UUCUAUAUAUAUCCACUCACAACAACACAUUCGACAAUUCCUACGUUUCCAUUCCCACCUUCUCCACCCCUCCUCGUCCCAUCGAACAAAUACAUAAAAAUUAAAUUAAUCUAUUAAAUUAAUUAAUUUAUGGAGAGCAGCGCCGCCAGCGUCGUCACCGCCGACGGCGCCGACGCCGAGUCGCGUAAGCCGCAGCCGUCGCGAUUCAAAGGCGUCGUCCCUCAGCCCAACGGCCGGUGGGGGGCCCAAAUCUACGAGAAGCACCGCCGCGUCUGGCUCGGCACUUUCAACCUCGAAGAACAGGCGGCGCUGGCCUACGCCACUGCCGCCCUCCGCUUCCGCGGCCGCGACGCCGCCGCCAAUCUCAGGCCGCCGCCGCCGGCCGCCGACGAGCACGAAUUCAAUUUCCUAAAUUCACACACCAAAUCAGAAAUCGUCGACAUGCUGAGAAAACACACCUACGCCGACGAGCUCCAUUACAGCCGUCGGACCAUCUCCACCACCGAUCCGACGUUGGAUAACAAUUCACCUUCAAUCGCCGCCACCCCGGCGGCGCCGGAGCACCUGUUCGAGAAAUCGGUGACGCCGAGCGACGUCGGAAAACUUAAUCGGUUAGUAAUUCCGAAGCAAUUUGCAGAGAAGCACUUCCCUCUCCAAAUUGGGGGCGCCGGCGACGCCAUUAAAGGCGUUCUGCUGAGCUUCGAAGAUCGGAGCGGGAAGGUAUGGCGGUUCCGGUAUUCGUACUGGAACAGCAGCCAUAGCUAUGUUCUGACGAAAGGAUGGAAUCGAUUUGUGAAGGAGAAGAAUUUGCAGGCCGGAGAUACGGUGAGUUUCCGGCGAUCGGGAAAGCGGCUGUACAUUGAUUGGAAAGCUCGCCGGAGGAGUGGACCGCCGGUUCGGACCGUCCGCCUGUUUGGUGUUGAUAUAUUGGAAACCGCCGCCGUGCACGGCGGCGGUUGCGGCGGAAAGAGGGUGAUCGGAGAAAUGAAUGGUGUGGGAUUUGGUUGUGGGAAGAAGGCGAGGAUUUUCGCCUUGUGACAUCUAAUUUUUUCUAUAAUUAAUUUAUUGUGUUUUGUGAAAAUAGUGUUUUUAUUUUUUUAAAAUUAUGACCUAGGAAUUCAAAUUAGUAAAUGUGAGCAGAUGAAUUUUCCGGUGAAUCUAAUAGUUUGCAAAUUAGAUCCGUAAAUUAUAUGUCUUUAAUGUAUUGGAGUGCUUUUUAUUAGUAUUUUGGUCUUUAUACGUAAAUAAAAUAAUAAUUUUUUGAUAAUUAAUAUAUAGGGACAUGUUAAGAUAUUAAUUAGACACUACAUUGAUUAACUAUUGUCAAAGUAGAUGUGACAAUAUCGGGUCGGUUCGGUUCGAUUUAUUAGGGUCGGGACAGACCCGGCCCGGUUGAAUGAUUUAGAAAUUGAAAUGGUAAUCUAUCAAUAAUAACACAAGACUUUAACAAUUAGAUUAUACUUCAAUUCUUUAUGUAUAUUUAUUUCUUAAUAUAUGCAUAAAUAUAUUUAUUGUAAAUAUAUUUAAAUUAUAAAAUUGGGCUGGACUAAGUAUGGCCUGAUUUCUUUGGGCCCAGGCACAACCCAGUUUACUAUUGUGCUGGGUUAGUCACGAUUCGAAAAUUUUUGAAUCUAUUUUUUUAGGUCGAAGCACAGUCUUUUUGUAUCGGAUCGAAUUUUUGGAUCGUCAAUAUGUGGCGGGAUUGGCGGUCGGCAACAUGUUAAUCUUCCGGUUCCGAUCGAAGGCGUAAUUCUCAUUGUAUCAUAUUCAGAUCACAACCCGUGAGGCCGGUUUAAUUCUGGCGAUCACGUUCAACAUCUUGUCCAAUCGACGCUAAUGACGGCCCUUUCUCUCUCUCUCUAUAUAUAUAUAUGGUUCGACAAGAGUUUAAUUGCAUGACGUUGUUGGCAACACUAGAAGCUUUAGCGUCAUGUAUUGCCUCGUUACAAACCCAAUUAAUUUUGUUGUGCUUCUGCUUCCAUAGGUUAUUUUCCAUGUUUGAUUUUCUAUGGAAUUAUACUUCAGUACGAAUUUGACCCUUAAA
Molecule: RNA transcript, 2044 nt
Organism: Andrographis paniculata
Lineage: Eukaryota; Viridiplantae; Streptophyta; Magnoliopsida; Lamiales; Acanthaceae
Gene name: AP2/ERF and B3 domain-containing transcription repressor RAV2-like
Exons: 3
Source: RefSeq, a predicted model, not a curated record